UACGGGGGGGGCAAGCGUUGUUCGGAAUUACUGGGCGUAAAGGGCUCGUAGGCGGCCAACUAAGUCAGACGUGAAAUCCCUCGGCUUAACCGGGGAACUGCAUCUGAUACUGGAUGGCUUGAGAUUGGGAGAGGGAUGCGGAAUUCCAGGUGUAGCGGUGAAAUGCGUAGAUAUCUGGAGGAACACCGGUGGCGAAGGCGGCGUUCUGGACUGUUUCUGACACUGAUAAACGAAAGCCAGGGGAGCAAACGGG
This 253-nucleotide ribosomal RNA is filed under the name uncultured bacterium. RNAcentral describes it as "partial 16S ribosomal RNA". It matches the Rfam family "Bacterial small subunit ribosomal RNA", at positions 524 to 776 of the family's 1533-position model. The record is from RNAcentral.